CCUGGUGAUUAGAGCGGCGGGGACACACCCGGUCCCAUCCCGAACCCGGUCGUUAAGCCCGCCAGCGCCGAUGGUACUGCCCUGGACACGGGGUGGGAGAGUAGGCCAUCGCCAGGA
Molecule: ribosomal RNA, 117 nt
Filed under: Chloroflexota bacterium
Lineage: Bacteria; Bacillati; Chloroflexota
Source: RNAcentral